This is a long non-coding RNA of Athalia rosae (coleseed sawfly), 365 nucleotides long. RefSeq lists it as uncharacterized. The transcript has 3 exons. NCBI's taxonomy places the organism in Eukaryota, Metazoa, Arthropoda, Insecta, Hymenoptera, Athaliidae. The record is from RefSeq and is a predicted model, not a curated record.
GGGAAAAAUCGGAGAAAUUGUGAGGAAAACUGCAUCGUUGAACUUUCAUAUCUUCAGAUUUUGACGUCGAUUUCCCGUGCAUCCACCGUCUGGUUGUGCAGUUUCCUGUUUUGUCAUAAAUAUUGCACCCCUAAGAACAAUUGAAAAAGCAUUUUCCCGCUAGAUGUAGAUAGCUCAGUCGCCCGAUGGAUUUCGAAACGCAACAUCGUCCGAUCGCUGCAUACGCCUGAAAAUCAAUACAAUAUCGGUCCAAGAAGUCGUCUUCCUCGUCGUCUUCGUCUUCCAGGCAAUCUCGAUUCAUGAACUCAUAUUUACCGGUGAGAACGGAUGAUAAAAGUUUUAAUCCAACUCCAGCAGGCCUCUUC